Molecule: ribosomal RNA, 282 nt
Filed under: uncultured bacterium
Lineage: Bacteria
Description: partial 16S ribosomal RNA
Rfam family: Bacterial small subunit ribosomal RNA
Source: RNAcentral
AACCUGCCCUUGACUCUGGGAUAAGCACUGGAAACGGUGUCUAAUACCGGAUACGAGCUUCAGCCGCAUGGCUAGGAGUUGGAAAGAAUUUCGGUCAAGGAUGGACUCGCGGCCUAUCAGCUAGUUGGUGAGGUAAUGGCCCACCAAGGCGACGACGGGUAGCCGGCCUGAGAGGGUGACCGGCCACACUGGGACUGAGACACGGCCCAGACUCCUACGGGAGGCAGCAGUGGGGAAUAUUGCACAAUGGGCGCAAGCCUGAUGCAGCAACGCCGCGUGAGG